GGGGAAGUGGCGGAAUCGGCAGACGCAGCGGACUUAAAAUCCGCAGACCCAACAGGUCGUGAGGGUUCGAGUCCCUCCUUCCCCA
Molecule: transfer RNA, 85 nt
Filed under: Planctomycetota bacterium
Lineage: Bacteria; Pseudomonadati; Planctomycetota
Description: tRNA-Leu
Rfam family: tRNA
About the family: Transfer RNA (tRNA) molecules are approximately 80 nucleotides in length.
Source: RNAcentral